GGUGGGACCCGUGCUGGCUGUGAUCUUCAAUCAUCUGCAUCGUCAUCGCCAUCCUGCUCUACAAGAAUAAACCUGACAGCAAACGCAAGGACUCUGAGCCAGGAACUAAAUGUUUGCUGAAUAAUGCUGAGAUGAUGGCACACA
Cyprinus carpio (common carp) is the source of this 144-nucleotide long non-coding RNA. RefSeq lists it as uncharacterized. The transcript has 3 exons. The record is from RefSeq and is a predicted model, not a curated record. Lineage: Eukaryota; Metazoa; Chordata; Actinopteri; Cypriniformes; Cyprinidae.